Molecule: ribosomal RNA, 351 nt
Filed under: Sterictiphora furcata
Lineage: Eukaryota; Metazoa; Arthropoda; Insecta; Hymenoptera; Argidae
Description: partial 12S ribosomal RNA
Source: RNAcentral
UUAAGAUGUAAAAUUUAAUUAGAGUAUUAAUAGUUAUUUUCUUUAAAUUCAAAAAAAUUGGCGGUAUUUUAUCUAAUUAGGGGAAUUUGUUUUAUAAAUGAUAAUCCACGAGGAACCUUACUUACUAAAAUAAAUUUGUGUAUUUCCGUUAUAAGAAAAUUUUUAAGGGGAAAAAAUUUUCUAUAUUUUAAAUUUAAAUCUAUUUCAGGUCAAAGUGCAGUUUAUGAGUGAGAAAAAAUGAGUUACAAUAAAAUUUAUUUAUACGGUUUUAUUUUUGAAAUAAAUUAAAUAAGGAGGACUUAAUAGUAAAUUUUAAAAUAGAAUUAAAUUGAAUUAAGAUCUAGAAUGUGU